GGGGAAUCUUGCGCAAUGGGCGAAAGCCUGACGCAGCCAUGCCGCGUGAAUGAUGAAGGUCUUAGGAUUGUAAAAUUCUUUCACCGGGGACGAUAAUGACGGUACCCGGAGAAGAAGCCCCGGCUAACUUCGUGCCAGCAGCCGCGGUAAUACGAAGGGGGCUAGCGUUGCUCGGAAUUACUGGGCGUAAAGGGAGCGUAGGCGGACAUUUAAGUCAGGGGUGAAAUCCCGGGGCUCAACCUCGGAAUUGCCUUUGAUACUGGGUGUCUUGAGUGUGAGAGAGGUAUGUGGAACUCCGAGUGUAGAGGUGAAAUUCGUAGAUAUUCGGAAGAACACCAGUGGCGAAGGCGACAUACUGGCUCAUUACUGACGCUGAGGCUCGAAAGCGUGGGGAGCAAAC
RNAcentral lists this ribosomal RNA (400 nucleotides) under Variovorax paradoxus. RNAcentral describes it as "partial 16S ribosomal RNA". It matches the Rfam family "Bacterial small subunit ribosomal RNA", at positions 356 to 773 of the family's 1533-position model. Lineage: Bacteria; Pseudomonadati; Pseudomonadota; Betaproteobacteria; Burkholderiales; Comamonadaceae. The record is from RNAcentral. RNAcentral also lists the same sequence under 1 other name.